GUCGAGCGGCAGCGGGGAGUAGCUUGCUACUCUGCCGGCGAGCGGCGGACGGGUGAGUAAAGUCUGGGGAUCUGGCUUAUGGAGGGGGGUAACCAUUGGAAACGGUGGCUAAUACCGCAUGAUGUCGCAAGACCAAAGUGGGGGACUUUAGGGCCUCACGCCAUAAGAUGAACCCAGAUGAGAUUAGCUAGUAGGUGCGGUAAUGGCGUACCUAGGCGACGAUCUCUAGCUGGUCUGAGAGGAUGACCAGCCACACUGGAACUGAGAAACGGUCCAGACUCCUACGGGAGGCAGCAGUGGGGAAUAUUGCACAAUGGGCGGAAGCCUGAUGCAGCCAUGCCGCGUGUGUGAAGAAGGCCUUAGGGUUGUAAAGCACUUUCAGCGGGGAGGAAGGCGGUAAGAGUAAUAUGCUUAUCGAUUGACGUUACCCGCAAAAGAAGCACCGGCUAACUCCGUGCCAGCAGCCGCGGUAAUACGGAGGGUGCGAGCGUUAAUCGGAAUAACUGGGCGUAAAGGGCAUGUAGGCGGUAAGUUAAGUCAGAUGUGAAAUCCCCGAGCUUAACUUGGGAACGGCAUUUGAGACUGGCGGGCUAGAGUUUUGUAGAGGGGGGUAGAAUUCCAGGUGUANCGGUGAAAUGCGUAGAGAUCUGGAGGAAUACCGGUGGCGAAGGCGGCCCCCUGGACAAGGACUGACGCUGAGGUGCGAAAGCGUGGGUAGCAAACAGGAUUAGAUACCCUGGUAGUCCACGCUGUAAACNAUGUCGAUUUGGAGGUUGUGGCCUANUGUUAUGGCGUCCGAAGCUAACGCGAUAAAUCGACCGCCUGGGGAGUACGGCCGCAAGGUUAAAACUCAAUGAAUUGACGGGGNNCCGCACAAGCGGGUGGAGCAUGUGGUUUAAUUCNAUGCACGCGAA
Molecule: ribosomal RNA, 914 nt
Filed under: Candidatus Regiella insecticola
Lineage: Bacteria; Pseudomonadati; Pseudomonadota; Gammaproteobacteria; Enterobacterales; Enterobacteriaceae
Description: bacterial SSU rRNA
Rfam family: Bacterial small subunit ribosomal RNA
Source: RNAcentral